Molecule: long non-coding RNA, 4192 nt
Organism: Talpa occidentalis (Iberian mole)
Lineage: Eukaryota; Metazoa; Chordata; Mammalia; Eulipotyphla; Talpidae
Exons: 3
Source: RefSeq, a predicted model, not a curated record
UUGGCCACAGCAGAACUGUACAUCUCGACUCUUUUUUUACAGCUUUUCCAUACUGGGGCCCACUUCCUGCCCAGUUGAGGAAAAAAAUCUGGCCUGAAGAUGAAAUGACUGCUUAACAUUACACUAAAACAUCUGGUACCAUUUUAUGCACAGACCCAUGUCUGAGAGCAGGCGAUUCUAGCGGUCUCUCCAGCGGCACAGCGCAUACCCAAACCUCCCCAGGGUGACAUCAUCCCAUAUAUGGACUCUCCAGCCCAGCCCUCCCCCUUUUCCUGGUCCUAAAUUCAUUGCCAGUUCCCCAGUCUGCAGCAAAUGUGCCACGUCAAGACUGGAAAUCACAGCCCUUGAGUGUGUCUCAGUCAGUGCAGCAGAAUUCAGGGGGGAAAGCUGAAUGCAACCCCUGGUGCAGGAAGGGAGGCUUUUCCCAAAGACAAGGAGAGGAUUUUAAAUACCUAGCUGGAAGCUUCUGGAGAUCCUGCUCCGUCGCCCCAGUGUUCAGACUACCUGUUCAGGACAAUGCCGUUGUACAGUAGUCUGCACAUUGGUUAGACUGGGCAAGGGAGAGCAACGCCAUGGACGACCGGGACAAAAGUUGCCGUUUCCAAGGAGAAGACAUGUGUUUGCUUCUUUUUCAAAUCUCAUAUCCAGUGUUUUUCUUCACAGGUUUUGCACACUAGGGACCAAGAAGCCGGUGGGGACAAAGCGGAGAAAGGACUGCUCGAGGGAGGACCUGCGGGGAUCAUGGGAUCUAUUCCAGAGGAAACUAACCAACAGUGAACAUCUUCAACUAAAACUACUCCUGGAUAUGAUGGUUGCAUGCAUCAUUCCUUUAAUUGAGCAGAGUUAACUGGAUCAAAUUAUUUAUGGGAGAAAGAGGGAGAGCUAUACAGAAUUACAGUAAUUUUUAUUUUCCACCAAUAUACACUUUGUAAGUGAACCACCCUAUAAAUAUUUUAUGUUGCACUGAAUGCAGCAACAAUAACAAAAUAGUUUCUUAAGGUAUUUGUUUCUGCAUACUCUGAUCUUGUAAUUAUUUACAUAGCAACCAUAUUUACUGAUGUUUUUGAUUAUGCCAAGAAAAAAAAGUUCCACUACUCAGAAGUGAUGGCCAGAAACAGGAUCAGACAUUUAUUUUCUUGAAAUUAAAUAAAUAAAUGGAAAACCUCACUUAUCAACUGUUAUAACUGUACCACUGCAUAAAAGUUCAGAUGUGUAGAAAACUGACAUUUGUCAGUCUUUCAGACUGUUUUGCUCUCCAUAAAGUUUCUAUCUGCUUUUUUCUCAGAAUCAUACAAUUAAAAGAAGUAACAACUUGUUUUCUUUAAUAUUCUGUGAAAGAAUUCUAAGUACUGCCUCUUUGGACAAUACAAUUUUGGUUUUUUGUUUUUGAAGAAAUUCCACUCACUGGAAUUUUGACUAUCUGGAUAUUUGUUUUUAAAAGGCAGGGGAAUUUUAUUAAGCACCUCUAUGGAUGUGAACUGAUCAUUUAUAUCAAAACAGUCAAAAGAUUUAUUCUCAAUUCACCAGAAUUAAAUAUUCUGUCUAUAUAUUUAACACCAUUCACUCUUUCUUAUGCAAAUUAUAAGUACAUUUUCCAAAGGUUCUGGUUUUAAAUUUUGAAUAUGAAAAGGAGUUUCCUUUUCUGUGUUAAGGUAUUAUUUUGUUAACUAUAGCACCAGUGAUGUUCAAAAUAUAUUCUGAACAUCACUUUUUAGUUUAUAUCCUUCUGAUACUAAGGCAAAGCCCUGUAGUAAUUAAUAGGAGGAGCACUUAAGCUAACAAUUGCUUUUUAUUUGGUUUCACAUCCAUACUUAGAAACAUUGCAUUAAAAAGAAAAUGAGAAGUUUCAAUAAAUCCCUGUUGCUUAAUAAAGUAUUGGUAAAAAUGUAUGCCAUUGUUCAACCCCACUAUCAAAGCAUAAGAUACCAAAGUUGAAUCGCAAAAUUCAUUAAGCUCAUUUUGAAAAUGGCUGCCGUUUCCAUGAAAAAGAUAAGUUUCUUUUUCAUGGGCAAGGUUAUGGCACUUAUCUACUCCAAGAAACAUGUAUAAACAUAGUCUUUAUCUUGAACUUCAGUAUUAAAAUAUGCAGAAAUUUUAUGAAGAGGAAAAACAUCUGGUUCAGCCCUUCUGAACUCUGACUGCAUGUGGGCAGGAAUAAUACGGAUUGGAAUUAAGAAUAAACCCUGUGUUUAAUUUUUUAUGUCUUUUUCUUAAAAAUUCAAUGUGAAUUUUCUGUUACAUCAGUUCUCCAUGUUAGCACAUUUGAAACAAAUGUAUAAAUGUACUUUCUGAAUAAAGUGAAAAGUCUAACUUGUUUUUAGUUCCAUAAUGUUUUAAUGUUUAAUUCUAUUGUGUGUUUUUCUCCCUUUCCCCUGACCCUCCAAAAUCACCAAAUCUGGAAAGCAGACUGAUUGUAUCUGCCCAUGAGCAAAGGAAACCCGAAGGAACCAAGGGCCUGGCUGGACGAAGUUGUCAUGUGUCUGCCUGUCUACACUUGCUGUGCAGAACAUCCGCUCACCUGUACAGCAGGCACAGACAGGCAGUCACAUGACAACCCAGCCUGAAUGACAACCAGCCAUUGAAAGAAAGCAGCCCUCACACCAUAGCAUCUACACCAAGAACUACAACCAAAAUGAGGGGCGCGGGGAUCUGGGAUUUUAAUCUGUUGGUUUAAUACUUAACUCGUAUGUAUUAUUAUUAUUUUAUUUUGAUUCAAAUAUUGAAACCAAAUUUCCAAAAGUAAAGUGAGUGGUGCCUAUGAAAUAUAAUAAAACCCAUUUCUGAAAAUAUUCCUGUGCUCUCUAUAGUUCUCUUUUCCUAACCGUUGUCAGUAAAUAACUACCCUGGACAUUUAUUUAACACAACUUUGCAGCAUCCCAUAAUCAAUAUAAGUUCAAUCUGAUAUUUCACAAAAAAUAAAUCAUUCUAGUAUUUCACCAAAACUUAAGUUUAGUUUUCAGUAACAUGACUUUUAAGAGAGAGAGGGAAGAAAUGUUCCCUUACCUCUCAUGGAUUUUGAGUUAAUACACUGACAAUUUGGGUCUGGGUAAAACACAGUGAAAAGAGAAUUUAUUUCCAACAAUUUUCACAUGUAUUAAAAUAGUUGUAUCUCCCCUUUUGAUACAUAGAAGGUAAAAUUUGAAGUGCUGAAAUUUUUGAAUGUCAUCAUGCAGAUGUGUUACUGUGUCUUUGUUUGAUUAAGAAGGGACUUGCACUAGAGAUCUGAGGGUGAAAUUUACAGGGCCAAUGCAUUCACUUGGAAUAUAUGCUUCAUUUGUCGUAAACUUUUAAGCUCUGGAGAUAUUUAGGCAGUUCAAUUAUUUUGAAAAAGAGCAAGGAACGGGAUCAAUGGCUAUGCAAUGUGAAUUUUGCCAUCUCUUUUGAGGAAAUGUCAAAAUUUCAGCUAAUGCACUAAGAACUGGAGAAAAAUAACCAGGGCUGGCUUGUUUAGGUGAAUAUUUCAAACAUUUUAGGGUAAAAAGUGGGGAGAUGUGUAAAAUUAAAAAUAUAUCACUUUGACUUGGUUGACUAAAAUGUUUUAAUGUAAGUAUUUAAAAUUUAUUUUUAUCUUUCUUGGAAAAAUUCUGCUCAAUUUUUUAAAGAAGCUCAAAAUUUUCUACUGCCUUAAUUUAAUAUUUCAAAUACAUAUUUUACAUAUUCAGGUAUUUUAUUUUAUAAAUGGGAGAUUUAAUCUCAAGGUUGAAAGCCCAUAAGCUUCAAAAAUUUCUAUAAUUUGGUUAUACUCAAAUCUGACACUAUAGUUCCUUUUAAAAUACAGUGGGCAAAACUAUGAAAUAUGAUUAUGGUCAAAUGUCUUGCUUUCAACAGCCCAGCCUUAUGGACUAUGUUAUCUGCAAAAAAAAAAAAAAAAAAAAAAAAAAAAAAACUUCUGCAUCUGCAAAGGAAAUUGUACCAAGCAUAUGAAACUAUGCUUCAUAAAAUGUAAAAUAUAAUCAGGGACACAAUAUAAGAAUGUGUCAGAGGACAUUUACAUAGGACAACCUGAUUUUAAAUACUUUAUGAGACCUGCAGCAAACACCACUGAUAGGAGGCUAUUUAUGGAUCAUCCUACUGGACCCAGCAAGGCAGACCCAGGACAGUGUCUCUCUCUGGAUGACAUAAUAGCUGGGUCAGAACAUAAAAGAGAUGUUCUAUUUCACCAGACUCCAAAGGGAAAGCUAAGAGGCUAACA